Long non-coding RNA from Macaca fascicularis (crab-eating macaque), 2387 nucleotides. The record is from Ensembl. Lineage: Eukaryota; Metazoa; Chordata; Mammalia; Primates; Cercopithecidae.
GGCGCUGCCUGGACCAAUCGCUUGGCAGCGCAUCUGAACUUGUUGUGAUUGCUAGGGCGACCCGCUCUGGGAGGGAGCCCCAGGCAUUCCCGAUUACGCUGCGACCUCUAAAGGCAGUGGGACAGAGGGUUAGCCGUUAGCAGGGCUGGGGCGCCCGUGGGCUGCCGCUAGGGCUGUGAGCCCGGGGUUAGGGUUUUGGCCACGUUGCCGCUCAGGGUGCCCAGCCCUGGGGCCUCAGGGCUGAGUUUGACCGACCUGGACGCCGGCUUCUGUGCGGAGUUCCUCCUUUCGUUCAAGCAUUGACCGAGCGCCUUUUUCUAUUUAUCUUCUGACACUGAGUCUCGCUCUGUCGCCCAGGCUGGAGUGCAGUGGCACGAUCUCGGCUCGCUGCAACCUCCGCCUCCCGGGUUCAAGCCAUUCUCCUCCCUAAGCCUCCCGCAUAGCUGAGAUUACAGGCGCCCGCCCCCGCGCCCGGCUAAUUUUUGUAUUUUUGGUAGAGACGGGCUUUCACCAUGUUGGCCAGGUUGGUCUCGAACUCCCGACCUCGUGAGCCGUCCGCCUCGGCUUCCCAAAGUUCUGGGAUUACAGGCGUGAGCCACUGCGCCCGGCGAGGGCCAAUUUCUAUAUCGUGGAACAUUAAGUGAACUUGUCUGCCUUUCCAAACUUUGGCGCCACUAGCAAGAUGCAGUUUCACUCCUGUUGCCUAGGCUGGAGUGCAAUGGUGCAACCUUGGCUCACUGCAACCUCCACAUCCGAGGUUCAAGCGAUUCUCCUGCCUCAGCCUCCUGAAUAGCUAGGAUCACAGGCAUGUGCCACCACACCCGGCUAAUUUUUGUGUUUUUAGUAGAGACAGGGUUUUACCAUGUUGGCCAGGCUGGUCUCAAACUCCCGACUUCAGAUGAUCUGCCCACCUCAGUCUCCCAAAGUGCUGGGAUUACAGGUGUGAGCCACUGUGCUGGCCUGUUUUUUUUUUUUUUUUUUUGAGACAAGGUCUUGCUCUGUCACCCUGGCUGGAGUGCAGUGGCACAGUCAUGGCUCACUGCAGCCUCAACCUCCUGGACUGCAGCAAUCUGCCUGCCUCAACCUCCAUAAGUGCUGGGAUUACAGACAUGAGCUACCAAGCCUAGUACCAUAGAAUCUAAACCAUCUCUAGAUUAUUUAUCAUGCUUAAUACAAUACAAAUGCUAUGCAAAUAGCUAUUACACUGUAUUGUUUCUUGUUUUUUGAUAGGAUCUCACUCUGUUGCCCAGGCUGAAGUGCAGUGGUGUGAUCUUGGCUCAUGACAUCCUUGACCUCCUGGGCUCAAGUGAUCCUCUUGUCUCAGCCUCUCAAGUAGCUGGGACUACAGAUGCGUGUCACCAUGUCUGGCUAAUUUUCUUUAUUUAUUUUGUAGAGAUGGGGUCUUGCAAUUUUACCCAGGCUGGUCUCGAAUGCUUGGGCUCAAAUGACCUGCCCACCUUGGCCUCCCGAAGUGCUGGGUUAUAGGGCAUGAGCCACUGUGAGAGCCUACACUGUAUUUUUUUUUUUUUCUUGAGAUGAAGUUUUGCUUUUGUUGCCCAGGCUGGAGCGCAAUGGCAUGAUCUUGGCUCACUGUAACCUCUGCCUCCUGGGUUCAAGUGAUUCUCCUGCCUCAGCCUCCUGAAUAGCUGGGAUUACUGCCACCACGCUUGGCUAAUUUUUUUUUUUUUUGAGACAGAGUCAGCUCUGUCGCCCAGGCUGGAGUGCAGUGACGCGAUCUCGGCUCACUGCAAGCUCUGCCUCCCGGGUUCACGCCAUUCUCCCGCCUCAGCCUCCUGAGUAGCUGGGACUACAGGCUCCCGCCACCACGCCUGGCUAAUUUUUUGUAAUUUUUAGUAGAGACAGGGUUUCACCAUGUUAGCCGGGAUGGUCUCGAUCUCCUAACCUUGUGAUCUGCCCGCCUUGGCCUCCCAAAGUGCUGGGAUUACAGGCGUGAGGCACUGCGCCCGGCCACUGUAUUGUUUUUUACUUGUACUAUUUUUUAUUCUUGUAUUUUUAUUUUUUUCAAAUAUUUCCAAUCUGUGGUUGGUUGAAUCUGUGGACAUGGAACCCCCAUGGAUAUGAAGGGCUGACUGUAUGCUAGUCUGUCUUCUGGAGAUGUUUGCAAUUUUCCAUAGCAAAUCUAAAGAGUGAAGUAUGUAUGAUCCUGCAGUGGAUCCAUCAUUACACAUUUUUGUCCAAACCCAUCGAAUGUCCAACAGCAGAGUGAAGCCUCAUGUGAGCACCAAUGCUGGUUCAUUGACAGCAACAGAUGGGACGCUGGAGGCUGGCAGGGGGCACACAGGAACUCUGACCUUUCCACUCAGUUUUGCUGUGAACCUAAAAUGGUUCUAAGAAAGAACAUUUACAAAAAAAAAAAAAAAAAAAAA